RNAcentral lists this ribosomal RNA (254 nucleotides) under uncultured bacterium. Its description in RNAcentral is "partial 16S ribosomal RNA". It matches the Rfam family "Bacterial small subunit ribosomal RNA", at positions 524 to 776 of the family's 1533-position model. The record is from RNAcentral.
UACGGGGGGAGCAAGCGUUGUUCGGAUUUACUGGGCGUAAAGGGCGCGUAGGCGGCCACCGCAAGUCGGUUGUGAAAUCUCCGGGCUUAACCCGGAAAGGUCAAUCGAUACUGCGGGGCUAGAGUGCAGAAGGGGCAACUGGAAUUCUCGGUGUAGCGGUGAAAUGCGUAGAUAUCGAGAGGAACACCUGCGGCGAAGGCGGGUUGCUGGGCUGACACUGACGCUGAAGCGCGAAAGCGUGGGGAGCAAACAGG